RNAcentral lists this ribosomal RNA (1018 nucleotides) under uncultured bacterium. Its description in RNAcentral is "bacterial SSU rRNA". It matches the Rfam family "Bacterial small subunit ribosomal RNA", at positions 357 to 1376 of the family's 1533-position model. The record is from RNAcentral.
AGGAAUAUUGGUCAAUGGGCGAGAGCCUGAACCAGCCAAGUAGCGUGAAGGAUGACUGCCCUAUGGGUUGUAAACUUCUUUUAUAAAGGAAUAAAGUCGGGUAUGGAUACCCGUUUGCAUGUACUUUAUGAAUAAGGAUCGGCUAACUCCGUGCCAGCAGCCGCGGUAAUACGGAGGAUCCGAGCGUUAUCCGGAUUUAUUGGGUUUAAAGGGAGCGCAGACGGGGGAUUAAGUCAGUUGUGAAAGUUUGCGGCUCAACCGUAAAAUUGCAGUUGAUACUGGUUCCCUUGAGUGCAGUUGAGGCAGGCGGAAUUCGUGGUGUAGCGGUGAAAUGCAUAGAUAUCACGAAGAACCCCGAUUGCGAAGGCAGCCUGCUAAGCUGUAACUGACGUUGAGGCUCGAAAGUGUGGGUAUCAAACAGGAUUAGAUACCCUGGUAGUCCACACGGUAAACGAUGGAUACUCGCUGUUGGCGAUAUACUGUCAGCGGCCAAGCGAAAGCAUUAAGUAUUCCACCUGGGGAGUACGCCGGCAACGGUGAAACUCAAAGGAAUUGACGGGGGCCCGCACAAGCGGAGGAACAUGUGGUUUAAUUCGAUGAUACGCGAGGAACCUUACCCGGGCUUAAAUUGCAACCGAAUAUGGCGGAAACGCUAUAGCUAGCAAUAGCGGUUGUGAAGGUGCUGCAUGGUUGUCGUCAGCUCGUGCCGUGAGGUGUCGGCUUAAGUGCCAUAACGAGCGCAACCCUUAUCUUCAGUUACUAACAGGUCAUGCUGAGGACUCUGGAGAGACUGCCGUCGUAAGAUGUGAGGAAGGUGGGGAUGACGUCAAAUCAGCACGGCCCUUACGUCCGGGGCUACACACGUGUUACAAUGGGAGGUACAGAAGGCAGCUACCCGGCGACGGGAUGCCAAUCUCCAAAGCCUCUCUCAGUUCGGACUGGAGUCUGCAACCCGACUCCACGAAGCUGGAUUCGCUAGUAAUCGCGCAUCAGCCACGGCGCGGUGAAUACGUUCCCG